Non-coding RNA from Microcebus murinus (gray mouse lemur), 1118 nucleotides. The record is from RefSeq and is a predicted model, not a curated record. Lineage: Eukaryota; Metazoa; Chordata; Mammalia; Primates; Cheirogaleidae.
GCCAGGCUGGCGCUGAUUGGUAGGAUCGCAGCGGGUUCGUUGUUGCUAGGCUCUGGCGGGGGUGGCUAGGCGCCGUUGUUGCUAAGUUACUGAGUGCGCGUGCGCCACAGAGGCGCGCCUGCCUGAAAGAAGGUAUUUCCGGCCGGAGGUGGAGGCGGGGGUCUUUCGCUCCCGCCUUCAAAACCCAGGUUCCGUACGUUCCGCCUUUUUGCGCGGUAGGCCGGCAGGAAGCGGGUUAUGUGGCGAGUUUCCCGGGCAGGCCGCCACGGCUCGAGUUUGGAAGUGCCUAGAUCGGGGCGGCGCGGUACCUGGUGGCUACUGUGAAGCACAGUCCCCCAUCCCGUCUUAAAGAAGGUGUUGCUCAGUUAAUACCAAUUUGCUGGUGACAGCAGGUACCUUUCGAAAGAAGCCUGGGACUCUAAACGCAGCUUCAGAGAGUAUACUCAUACUUUAGGAAUUACCAGCUUCAGUGGACAUCUUUCCAGAGCAGUGGUUCAGGAGGCUGACUGACCACAAUGGAUGCCCAGUCAAUCAGGAGGGAAGACAGAGGCUUCAAAGGCAUGUACUUGGGGUCCUAGGGCCUCCUGCUCCCUAGUGGCUGUUGAGGAUUCUGCACACUCUGGAGCUAAAACAGAACUGUCUGGAGAUAGCCUUACCAGGUUUGGCAGGUGUUUAUCUAUUGACACCCAGACAGGAGUGAUAAAGAUACACACAUCCUGGCAAAAUUCCUGAAUUCCAUGGGUAAAGAGAGAAGUAUACAAGUUUUUCGCAUUGAAGGAAGAGGCUGUUUUUUAAAGGAAAGCAAAUAAAACUAGCAUUAGAAUUCUAAUUUGCUAUACUGAAAAUUAGAAGACAAUGGAAUGACACAUCUACAACCUGAAGAGAAAAACUGCGAUUAAGAGUCAAAAAUUCUUUUCCCAGACAAAAUGUCAUUCAUUCUUUGUGCCCAAAGAAAGACAACUUUAGACACUUAAGUGCACCCUCACUGAGGAAAAUACUCAACGUUCUCUAAUCAAUUGAUAAUUAUAUUGGAAAAGAGAUCUCAAUAUUGGGUAGAUAAUGAGUACAGUACUUAUGAACAACUAAUUUUGUAAUAAAUACGGUUAUUUCUAAAUGAA